Molecule: ribosomal RNA, 628 nt
Filed under: uncultured bacterium
Lineage: Bacteria
Description: bacterial SSU rRNA
Rfam family: Bacterial small subunit ribosomal RNA
Source: RNAcentral
AGUCGAGCGGAGAUGAGGUGCUUGCACCUUAUCUUAGCGGCGGACGGGUGAGUAAUGCUUAGGAAUCUGCCUAUUAGUGGGGGACAACAUUCCGAAAGGAAUGCUAAUACCGCAUACGUCCUACGGGAGAAAGCAGGGGAUCUUCGGACCUUGCGCUAAUAGAUGAGCCUAAGUCGGAUUAGCUAGUUGGUGGGGUAAAGGCCUACCAAGGCGACGAUCUGUAGCGGGUCUGAGAGGAUGAUCCGCCACACUGGGACUGAGACACGGCCCAGACUCCUAUGGGAGGCAGCAGUGGGGAAUAUUGGACAAUGGGGGGAACCCUGAUCCAGCCAUGCCGCGUGUGUGAAGAAGGCCUUAUGGUUGUAAAGCACUUUAAGCGAGGAGGAGGCUACUGAGACUAAUACUCUUGGAUAGUGGACGUUACUCGCAGAAUAAGCACCGGCUAACUCUGUGCCAGCAGCCGCGGUAAUACAGAGGGUGCGAGCGUUAAUCGGAUUUACUGGGCGUAAAGCGUGCGUAGGCGGCUUUUUAAGUCGGAUGUGAAAUCCCCGAGCUUAACUUGGGAAUUGCAUUCGAUACUGGGAAGCUAGAGUAUGGGAGAGGAUGGUAGAAUUCCAGGUGUAGCGGU